UACGAAGGGGGCUAGCGUUGCUCGGAAUCACUGGGCGUAAAGGGCGCGUAGGCGGCCAUUCAAGUCGGGGGUGAAAGCCUGUGGCUCAACCACAGAAUUGCCUUCGAUACUGUUUGGCUUGAGUAUGGCAGAGGUUGGUGGAACUGCGAGUGUAGAGGUGAAAUUCGUAGAUAUUCGCAAGAACACCAGUGGCGAAGGCGGCCAACUGGGCCAUGACUGACGCUGAGGCGCGAAAGCGUGGGGAGCAAACAGG
This 253-nucleotide ribosomal RNA is filed under the name uncultured bacterium. Its description in RNAcentral is "partial 16S ribosomal RNA". It matches the Rfam family "Bacterial small subunit ribosomal RNA", at positions 524 to 776 of the family's 1533-position model. The record is from RNAcentral.